RNAcentral lists this ribosomal RNA (253 nucleotides) under uncultured bacterium. RNAcentral's name for it is "partial 16S ribosomal RNA". It matches the Rfam family "Bacterial small subunit ribosomal RNA", at positions 524 to 776 of the family's 1533-position model. The record is from RNAcentral.
UACGAAGGGGGCUAGCGUUGCUCGGAAUCACUGGGUGUAAAGGGUGCGUAGGCGGGUUUUUAAGUCAGGGGUGAAAUCCUGGAGCUCAACUCCAGAACUGCCUUUGAUACUGAAGAUCUUGAGUCCGGGAGAGGUGAGUGGAACUGCGAGUGUAGAGGUGAAAUUCGUAGAUAUUCGCAAGAACACCAGUGGCGAAGGCGGCUCACUGGCCCGGUACUGACGCUGAGGCACGAAGGUCAGGGGAGCAAACGGG